This 486-nucleotide ribosomal RNA is filed under the name uncultured bacterium. RNAcentral's name for it is "bacterial SSU rRNA". It matches the Rfam family "Bacterial small subunit ribosomal RNA", at positions 29 to 510 of the family's 1533-position model. The record is from RNAcentral.
AACGAACGCUGGCGGCGUGCCUAAUACAUGCAAGUCGCACGAGAAAGUCCUUCGGGAUGAGUAUAGUGGCGCACGGGUGAGUAAUACAUAGGAACAUACCAUUUGGUGGGAAUAACCACGGGAAACUGUGGCUAAUACCGCAUGGUGACGUGAGUCUAAAGAGGGCCUCUACUUGUAAGCUCUCGCCAAAUGAGUGGCCUAUGUCCCAUUAGCUAGUUGGCAGGGUAAUGGCCUACCAGGGCAACGAUGGGUAGCUGGUCUGAGAGGAUGAUCAGCCACACUGGGACUGAGACACGGCCCAGACUCCUACGGAGGCAGCAGUAGGGAAUUUUGCACAAUGGGCGCAAGCCUGAUGCAGCAACGCCGCGUGAGUGAAGAAGGCUCUUGGGUCGUAAAAGCUCUUUCGGCUGGAAAGAAGGGGUUGCCUGCGAACAGUUGGCAAUUCUGACGGUACCAGAAGAAGAAGCACCUGCUAACUACGUGCCA